GAUGAACGCUGGCGGCGUGCCUAAUACAUGCAAGUCGAGCGAACAGACGAGGAGCUUGCUCCUCUGACGUUAGCGGCGGACGGGUGAGUAACACGUGGAUAACCUACCUAUAAGACUGGGAUAACUUCGGGAAACCGGAGCUAAUACCGGAUAAUAUAUUGAACCGCAUGGUUCAAUAGUGAAAGACGGUUUUGCUGUCACUUAUAGAUGGAUCCGCGCCGCAUUAGCUAGUUGGUAAGGUAACGGCUUACCAAGGCAACGAUGCGUAGCCGACCUGAGAGGGUGAUCGGCCACACUGGAACUGAGACGCGGUCCAGACUCCUACGGGAGGCAGCAAUAGGGAAUCUUCCGCAAUGGGCGAAAGCUUGACGGAGCAACGCCGCGUGAGUGAUGAAGGUCUUCGGAUCGUAAAACUCUGUUAUUAGGGAAGAACAAAUGUGUAAGUAACUAUGCACGUCUUGACGGUACCUAAUCAGAAAGCCACGGCUAACUACGUG
This 497-nucleotide ribosomal RNA is filed under the name uncultured bacterium. Its description in RNAcentral is "partial 16S ribosomal RNA". It matches the Rfam family "Bacterial small subunit ribosomal RNA", at positions 28 to 507 of the family's 1533-position model. The record is from RNAcentral.